GGGGGGGGGGAGCGAAUUACCUCAAUGAUGUCAGCAUUUUCCUGCCAACCUCAGCGGUGAACAGCAUGGCUUCCUGUCCGCCAACUCCUGCUGUCACUUCCAACACGAGGUCGCUCAAAUCAUCUUCCUCCUCUUUGAUCAAAAGGUGUAAUAUCUGAAACGGUGGGGCAGAGUGAAUUAAAAUGCAGCACUCGGAAAGCUUACAUUCUAGAAGCCCCUGUAAUAGAAAUGAAGGGGCCAGAACUAAACUAUACUUGACUUCUGAUUUCAAAACUGGUAUACAUCGACAUGGAAUUUAAAUGUAAUGGUUAUGUUAGGAUGCCUCAACAUUCUGUGUGGCUCACAAAGUUGCAAAUAAAAUCCUAAAUUACAGGAAAAACAUGUUUUUUUUUUAAUGAUAGAAGAUUAAUUAACUACCGUCUGCCUAAGGUCACGGAUGUUUUCCAAACAGGCUUCCCUCUCCUGCUCAGCCAGUUCUCGUAGAUCUUCAUCUGUGGGAACACCCAUCAUCAUACAAUGGCUUUCUCACUUCCCGAGAAGACGGUCUCACCAUUGAGAAGCUCCUCCGUCUCGCUCAUCUCCUUCUGCUUGAUAUCCAACUCCCUGAUGGUGUGAAUGAGGGGAGCCAGGAGGGCCACUUUGGUCCUCUUGGCUCUCAGCUCCUCCGCACUGCUCUGCUCCUGCUCAUCACUGUUGACCACUCUCAAGCACUCACUAUAGUCCGAGUCUAUCUUUUUCAGGUAGUCCAGCAGUGACGUCCUGGAGAAUAGUUCAUCGAGGGAUAAUAACUUGGCUACCUUCAGCCGGCUGGUAGUGUGAAAAGUUCUGAUGCAAUGAUGAUGAAACCUAGCACAUGUAAUUACACUUGAAUGAUUUCGAAACGCACACGUGAGCAAGUUAAAGGCAGACUUCUUUUGUUUCGGUAGAAGGUGAACAGCUAUUCUGAAAAACAUGACUGAAUGAUUGGUGUCUACUCCAUAUCAGAAAGAGUCAGGAUUCUGUGCAUUCUUUGCAGUAAGUAGAAUAGCGGCAGAACAUUCAAUCAAUAAAGUUGCACGUUAAGAGAACAAAAUACAGAAUGGGUCACCGGAGAUUGUGAUAGUUCAUGACGAUGAUGCAAAUUUUUUUCGUACAUGUUCCAGACUGACAA
Syngnathus typhle (broad-nosed pipefish) is the source of this 1150-nucleotide long non-coding RNA. RefSeq lists it as uncharacterized. The transcript is spliced from 2 exons. Lineage: Eukaryota; Metazoa; Chordata; Actinopteri; Syngnathiformes; Syngnathidae. The record is from RefSeq and is a predicted model, not a curated record.